This 2440-nucleotide ribosomal RNA is filed under the name Streptococcus pneumoniae GA47760. RNAcentral's name for it is "bacterial LSU rRNA". It matches the Rfam family "Bacterial large subunit ribosomal RNA", at positions 475 to 2925 of the family's 2925-position model. The record is from RNAcentral. Lineage: Bacteria; Bacillati; Bacillota; Bacilli; Lactobacillales; Streptococcaceae.
CCCUAGUGACCGAUAGUGAACCAGUACCGUGAGGGAAAGGUGAAAAGCACCCCGGGAGGGGAGUGAAAUAGAACCUGAAACCGUGCGCCUACAACAAGUUCGAGCCCGUUAAUGGGUGAGAGCGUGCCUUUUGUAGAAUGAACCGGCGAGUUACGUUAUGAUGCGAGGUUAAGUUGAAGAGACGGAGCCGUAGGGAAACCGAGUCUGAAUAGGGCGCCUUAGUAUCAUGACGUAGACCCGAAACCAUGUGACCUACCCAUGAGCAGGUUGAAGGUGCGGUAAGACGCACUGGAGGACCGAACCAGGGCACGUUGAAAAGUGCUUGGAUGACUUGUGGGUAGCGGAGAAAUUCCAAACGAACUUGGAGAUAGCUGGUUCUCUCCGAAAUAGCUUUAGGGCUAGCGUCGACAUUAGAGAUUCUUGGAGGUAGAGCACUGUUUGGGUGAGGGGUCCAUCCCGGAUUACCAAUCUCAGAUAAACUCCGAAUGCCAAUGAAUUAUGGUCGGCAGUCAGAACUGCGAGUGCUAAGAUCCGUAGUCGAAAGGGAAACAGCCCCAGACCACCAGCUAAGGUCCCAAAAUAAUUGUUAAGUGGAAAAGGAUGUGGGGUUGCACAGACAACUAGGAUGUUAGCUUAGAAGCAGCUAUUCAUUCAAAGAGUGCGUAAUAGCUCACUAGUCGAGUCGACCCUGCGCCGUAAAAUGUACCGGGGCUAAAACAAUUUACCGAAGCUGUGGAUACCUUUAUAGGUAUGGUAGGAGAGCGUUCUAUGUGUGAUGAAGGUAUACCGUGAGGAGUGCUGGAACGCAUAGAAGUGAGAAUGCCGGUAUGAGUAGCGAAAGACAGGUGAGAAUCCUGUCCACCGUAAGACUAAGGUUUCCAGGGGAAGGCUCGUCCGCCCUGGGUUAGUCGGGACCUAAGGAGAGACCGAAAGGUGUAUCCGAUGGACAACAGGUUGAUAUUCCUGUACUAGAGUAUGUAGUGAUGGAGGGACGCAGUAGGCUAACUAAAGCAGACGAUUGGAAGAGUCUGUCUAAGCAGUGAGGUGUGAAUUGAGUCAAAUGCUUAAUUCUAUAACAUUGAGCUGUGAUGGGGAGCGAAGUUUAGUAGCGAAGUUAGUGACGUCACACUGCCAAGAAAAGCUUCUAGCGUUUAAACAUACUCUACCCGUACCGCAAACCGACACAGGUAGUCGAGGCGAGUAGCCUCAGGUGAGCGAGAGAACUCUCGUUAAGGAACUCGGCAAAAUGACCCCGUAACUUCGGGAGAAGGGGUGCUGACUUAAAGUCAGCCGCAGUGAAUAGGCCCAAGCAACUGUUUAUCAAAAACACAGCUCUCUGCUAAAUCGUAAGAUGAUGUAUAGGGGGUGACGCCUGCCCGGUGCUGGAAGGUUAAGAGGAGUGCUUAGCGUAAGCGAAGGUAUGAAUUGAAGCCCCAGUAAACGGCGGCCGUAACUAUAACGGUCCUAAGGUAGCGAAAUUCCUUGUCGGGUAAGUUCCGACCCGCACGAAAGGCGUAAUGAUUUGGGCACUGUCUCAACGAGAGACUCGGUGAAAUUUUAGUACCUGUGAAGAUGCAGGUUACCCGCGACAGGACGGAAAGACCCCAUGGAGCUUUACUGCAGUUUGAUAUUGAGUGUCUGUACCACAUGUACAGGAUAGGUAGGAGUCUAAGAGAUCGGGACGCCAGUUUCGAAGGAGACGCUGUUGGGAUACUACCCUUGUGUUAUGGCCACUCUAACCCAGAUAGGUGAUCCCUAUCGGAGACAGUGUCUGACGGGCAGUUUGACUGGGGCGGUCGCCUCCUUAAAGGUAACGGAGGCGCCCAAAGGUUCCCUCAGAAUGGUUGGAAAUCAUUCGCAGAGUGUAAAGGUAUAAGGGAGCUUGACUGCGAGAGCUACAACUCGAGCAGGGACGAAAGUCGGGCUUAGUGAUCCGGUGGUUCCGUAUGGAAGGGCCAUCGCUCAACGGAUAAAAGCUACCCUGGGGAUAACAGGCUUAUCUCCCCCAAGAGUUCACAUCGACGGGGAGGUUUGGCACCUCGAUGUCGGCUCGUCGCAUCCUGGGGCUGUAGUCGGUCCCAAGGGUUGGGCUGUUCGCCCAUUAAAGCGGCACGCGAGCUGGGUUCAGAACGUCGUGAGACAGUUCGGUCCCUAUCCGUCGCGGGCGUAGGAAAUUUGAGAGGAUCUGCUCCUAGUACGAGAGGACCAGAGUGGACUUACCGCUGGUGUACCAGUUGUCUUGCCAAAGGCAUCGCUGGGUAGCUAUGUAGGGAAGGGAUAAACGCUGAAAGCAUCUAAGUGUGAAACCCACCUCAAGAUGAGAUUUCCCAUGAUUAUAUAUCAGUAAGAGCCCUGAGAGAUGAUCAGGUAGAUAGGUUAGAAGUGGAAGUGUGGCGACACAUGUAGCGGACUAAUACUAAUAGCUCGAGGACUUAUCCAA